Centropristis striata (black sea bass) is the source of this 453-nucleotide non-coding RNA. The record is from the annotation of a RefSeq genome assembly. Lineage: Eukaryota; Metazoa; Chordata; Actinopteri; Perciformes; Serranidae.
AUGAUCAACACACUCACUCUUCUGCUGGUUGCUCUCUCUCUGCCCUGUUGUACAGGUCAGAGCAUGGAGUCCAUUCCCUCCAGUUCAGUGGUGAAAAAGCCCGGGGAGACUCUCAGUCUCUCCUGCAGGGGAUCUGGCUUCACAUUUAGCUGCUGCAGCAUGCACUGGAUCAGACAACCUGCAGGAAAAGCUCUGGAGUGGAUCGGGAAUGGCUUUUCCGUUGCCAGUAGAAACAAUUAUGCCAGCAGUGUGAGAGGCCGUGUAGAAGUCAGUAGAGAUGACAGCAACAGCAUGACGUAUCUGAGACUGUCCAACUUACAGCCAGAGGACUCUGCUGUGUAUUACUGUGCCAAACACACAGUGGUUAAAGGAAGCAGAGAGGCUCUACAAAAACCUCAAACUAGUUAUUCUCACAAGUACCAACAGAUGGCAGUAGAAGAUAAGAAGUACUGA